AAUUUAUACGGUGAAACUGCGAAUGGCUCAUUAAAUCAGUUAUCGUUUAUUUGAUAGUACCUUACUACAUGGAUACCUGUGGUAAUUCUAGAGCUAAUACAUGCUGAAAACCUCGACUUCGGAAGGGGUGUAUUUAUUAGAUAAAAAACCAAUGCCCUUCGGGGCUCCUUGGUGAAUCAUAAUAACUUAACGAAUCGCAUGGCCUUGCGCCGGCGAUGGUUCAUUCAAAUUUCUGCCCUAUCAACUUUCGAUGGUAGGAUAGUGGCCUACCAUGGUGGCAACGGGUAACGGGGAAUUAGGGUUCGAUUCCGGAGAGGGAGCCUGAGAAACGGCUACCACAUCCAAGGAAGGCAGCAGGCGCGCAAAUUACCCAAUCCCGACACGGGGAGGUAGUGACAAUAAAUACUGAUACGGGGCUCUUUUGGGUCUCGUAAUUGGAAUGAGUACAAUCUAAAUCCCUUAACGAGGAACAAUUGGAGGGCAAGUCUGGUGCCAGCAGCCGCGGUAAUUCCAGCUCCAAUAGCGUAUAUUAAAGUUGUUGCAGUUAAAAAGCUCGUAGUUGAACCUUGGGUUCGGCCGGCCGGUCCGCCUCACCGCGAGUACUGUCCGGCCGUUCCUUUCCUUCUGGGGAAUCCCAUGGCCUUCACUGGCUGUGGGGGGAACCAGGACUUUUACUGUGAAAAAAUUAGAGUGUUCAAAGCAGGCCUUUGCUCGAAUACAUUAGCAUGGAAUAAUAGAAUAGGACGUGUGGUUCUAUUUUGUUGGUUUCUAGGACCGCCGUAAUGAUUAAUAGGGAUAGUCGGGGGGCGUCAGUAUUCAGCUGUCAGAGGUGAAAUUUCUUGGGAUUUGCUGAAGACUAACUACUGCGAAA
This 871-nucleotide ribosomal RNA is filed under the name Aspergillus niger. RNAcentral's name for it is "SSU rRNA". It matches the Rfam family "Eukaryotic small subunit ribosomal RNA", at positions 71 to 950 of the family's 1831-position model. The record is from RNAcentral. Lineage: Eukaryota; Fungi; Ascomycota; Eurotiomycetes; Eurotiales; Aspergillaceae.